Non-coding RNA from Pelobates cultripes (western spadefoot toad), 315 nucleotides. NCBI's taxonomy places the organism in Eukaryota, Metazoa, Chordata, Amphibia, Anura, Pelobatidae. The record is from the annotation of a GenBank genome assembly.
GUGUUAAAACCACCAUUAAGGUGACUACCCCCUUAAAAGUUAAUAAAAUGUACCUUAUUUCCAGCACCAUGCUGGCCCCACCCUUGCUGACAUCAAUAGAAUGUAUGAUUUUUAGCCAACCCAAUGCUUUCCCAUAGGAAAAUCAUUGGAUUAGCUAAAAUAGUCAAGGAGUCGGGGCGGGAGCUUGGCCAAUCAGCAUUUCCUCAUAGAGAUGCAUUGAAUCAAUGCAUUUCUAUGAGGGAAAUUCAGGGUCUCAAUGCAUAAUAGCCAUAUGAGGAGUGGCCACUUAGAUAUAUCCAUAGGGAGUAAUGUAAA